UUACGGGAGGCAGCAGUAGGGAAUCUUCCGCAAUGGGCGAAAGCCUGACGGAGCGACGCCGCGUGAGCGAAGAAGGCCUUCGGGUCGUAAAGCUCUGUUGUGAGGGACGAAGGAGCGCCGUUCGAAGAGGGCGGCGCGGUGACGGUACCUCACGAGGAAGCCCCGGCUAACUACGUGCCAGCAGCCGCGGUAAUACGUAGGGGGCGAGCGUUGUCCGGAAUUAUUGGGCGUAAAGCGCGCGCAGGCGGUUCCUUAAGUCUGAUGUGAAAGCCCACGGCUCAACCGUGGAGGGUCAUUGGAAACUGGGGGACUUGAGUGCAGGAGAGGAGAGCGGAAUUCCACGUGUAGCGGUGAAAUGCGUAGAGAUGUGGAGGAACACCAGUGGCGAAGGCGGCUCUCUGGCCUGCAACUGACGCUGAGGCGCGAAAGCGUGGGGAGCAAACAGGCUUAGAUACCCUGGUAGA
This 464-nucleotide ribosomal RNA is filed under the name uncultured bacterium. RNAcentral describes it as "bacterial SSU rRNA". It matches the Rfam family "Bacterial small subunit ribosomal RNA", at positions 339 to 794 of the family's 1533-position model. The record is from RNAcentral.